This is a long non-coding RNA of Austrofundulus limnaeus, 556 nucleotides long. RefSeq lists it as uncharacterized. The transcript has 3 exons. The record is from RefSeq and is a predicted model, not a curated record. NCBI's taxonomy places the organism in Eukaryota, Metazoa, Chordata, Actinopteri, Cyprinodontiformes, Rivulidae.
CCUCCCAGGAUGCCUACCAUCAGGAAAGUUGUGAUUAUUCUGUUAUCAACUAGUAUUGGUGAUGUCACAUGCUGUCAGGAGACAUAGAAAAAAAAAAGUGAUUCUCUUCACGUUACGGGAAUAACUGAGAAGACACUGACAGCGGGGGAGGGUCCAGCUGUAGCCGAGCUGAAGCUGGUAGCGAACAGCGGGAACAGCUGAUCAACCAGGACUCUGGUUCCAAGAAACGAAGCGCAAGAAAGAGAAAAUGCAAGCAAACCAGCUCUCACGCUUGAAAGUGGUUCAUGUCCAUCCCUCCGCAGAAGCACAGGCAGGGAAGAAUUCACAUGACAUGAGCUGCUGAAAGCUCUGGACCAAGAUGGUGASAGCGAGAUUGACUUCAAAGAGUUUUCUAUGUUUGUCAUUUGCCUGCUGUGUGCCGCCCAAGGCCUCUGCUGCAAAGAGAAGUAAAGAGUGAAACCACAAGGGCGUGGUCCGACCAUAUCAACAAAAACAUGAAACCCUCAUYGUUACUUUUGUUUUCUGAAAAACAAAUAAAGCAAUUUACCUGCCUUUA